Long non-coding RNA from Aedes aegypti (yellow fever mosquito), 414 nucleotides. RefSeq lists it as uncharacterized. The transcript is spliced from 2 exons. The record is from RefSeq and is a predicted model, not a curated record. NCBI's taxonomy places the organism in Eukaryota, Metazoa, Arthropoda, Insecta, Diptera, Culicidae.
UAGUCUUACAGUGCAUUUAAUGCGAUUAAUGCAUUUUCUCGUCCUUGUUCUGAUUCUGGUGCCCAAGUGAAAGGUUGUGUUCGGAUACAUAUCGGAGUGUUAUUUUACCUCAGCACCAGCCGAAGCUCAAUGAUGCAGUGGCGACGCAAGCGCUGGAGACUUCCGGUUCUGUGCCCUUAGGGCACCGGCCAGAACGUCCCAGCUUUGAAGAGAAUCGCAAAUUCAUUUUAACCGAUGGACUCCGGAUAGCAACUUUACAUGUGCACAUGCAUUGUCCAAACAAAAUGGUUGCCUGCAGAAUGGGUUCCCGAGAUGCGCCACCGUUCAAUGAUUUUGAGAACAAUACAAAUUGUAGUGUUUAAGCUUGUAGGCUAUAUGUGUGUAUGUUAAUAAACUAUGUCUGUGGAAUUACAA